AUUCAAUUAGCGCUCGGGCUCGAAGGUCGAGGGUUCGAGACCUGCUCCCUGCUGUUUCAUUACAUUACUUUGAAAUGCCAUGUAUCAUUUAAGAGCUACUGCAAGCUCUUUAGUUUAUAUGCUGGAAUAAUUUUCACGGACCAAGCUCCUGUAACGACACAGUUAAAUGUAACUUUGUAACGAGUGCACUGUGUGUUUUGGGAAACUGGUGUGACAUCUUCGGACAUUAUUUUUACGAUGCAUUGUUGAAACACUCGUAAACCUAAAGUACUGACGGAUUUUGUCCAACAAGGCGCCACACCAGGGGUGCGUUUCCCCAAAACAUUAUUGUACGUUCUUGAACAUACUUUGAGCUACGCUUGCUCGGUUCGGUGGGUGUACCGGAGUGUGUCUUGAAGCAAUGAGUGACGUAUUUAAAAGGGCAGCGGUGCAUUUUGAACCCCCUACCCUCCCCGUUUUUAAACUGGUUGAAUAGUACAACAGUUUCCGUUCAAUUGAAUGUUCUAUUACGUUUUUAUGUACUGAACCCCUGACAAACAGCUGAUUCAUCGGUUCAGUGAUUGCCCCUCUUUCACACCAGCUGCCAAACUAACCCUGAUUCAGAUGACCAUCCUACCCAUGCUUGAUUGCGGAGACGUAAUUUAUGGAUCGGCAGGCCACUGCAUGCUGUGACAUGGGCCUGGAUGGUCACACAUCUUCUUCAAGCUGCCUGACUGAAUACUGUAGCCUUCAGUGGUACCGGAAGCCAGGGCCGUAUCUGGGAGUACAGCAAAAGUCUCAAAUUCAUACAAAUGGCUACAGUCACUGACUUGUAUUCACUUGUCCCAUUCUAAAGUCUUGUCUGGGAUAUACAGUUGAAGUCGGAAGUUUACAUACACCUUACCCAAAUACAUUUAAACUCAGUUUUUCACAAUUCCUGACAUUUUAAUCUGAGUAAAAAUUCCCAGUUUUAGGUCAGUUUGGAUCACAACUUUUAUUUUAAGAAUGUGAAAUGUCAGAAUAAUAGUAGAUAAUGAUUUAUUGCUUGUGCCUCUAGUUCUGACAAUGCAGUAAUAACCAACGAGUAACCUAACAGUCCCACAACAACUACCUUAUACACACAAGUGUAAAGGGAUAAAGAAUAUGUACAUAUAAAUAUAUGAAUGAGGGAUGGUACAGAACGGCAUAGGCAAGAUGCAGUAGAUGGUAUCGAGUACAGUAUAUACAUAUGAGAUGAGUAAUGUAGGGUAUGUAGACAUAAAAGUGGCAUUGUUUAAAGUGGCUAGUGAUACAUUUUUACAUAAAUUUUCCAUUAUUAAAGUGGCUGGAGUUUAGUCGGUAUUUUGGCAGCAGCCAAUCAAUGUUAGUGGCC
Long non-coding RNA from Oncorhynchus tshawytscha (Chinook salmon), 1351 nucleotides. Lineage: Eukaryota; Metazoa; Chordata; Actinopteri; Salmoniformes; Salmonidae. The record is from Ensembl.